This 388-nucleotide ribosomal RNA is filed under the name uncultured bacterium. Its description in RNAcentral is "bacterial SSU rRNA". It matches the Rfam family "Bacterial small subunit ribosomal RNA", at positions 29 to 420 of the family's 1533-position model. The record is from RNAcentral.
AUUGAACGCUGGCGGCAUGCUUUACACAUGCAAGUCGAACGGUAACAGGCCUUCGGGUGCUGACGAGUGGCGAACGGGUGAGUAAUGCAUCGGAACGUGCCCAAUCGUGGGGGAUAACGUAGCGAAAGUUACGCUAAUACCGCAUAAGCCCUGAGGGGGAAAGUGGGGGACCGCAAGGCCUCACGCGAAUGGAGCGGCCGAUGUCAGAUUAGCUAGUUGGUGGGGUAAAGGCUCACCAAGGCGACGAUCUGUAGCGGGUCUGAGAGGAUGAUCCGCCACACUGGGACUGAGACACGGCCCAGACUCCUACGGGAGGCAGCAGUGGGGAAUUUUGGACAAUGGGCGCAAGCCUGAUCCAGCCAUGCCGCGUGAGUGAAGAAGGCCUCGG